RNAcentral lists this ribosomal RNA (292 nucleotides) under uncultured bacterium. RNAcentral describes it as "partial 16S ribosomal RNA". The record is from RNAcentral.
GGACUACUGGGGUAUCUAAUCCCGUUCGCUCCCCUAGCUUUCGCACCUCAGCGUCAGAAACGAGCCAGGACACUGCCUUCGCCUUUGGUGUUCUUCCGGAUCUCUACGCAUUUCACCGCUCCACCCGGAGUUCCAUGUCCCUCUCUCGCUCUCAAGUCCGCCAGUUUUCGAAGUCCUUCACCAGUUAAGCUGGUGACUUUCACCCCGAACUUAGCAGACCGCCUGCGUGCCCUUUACGCCCAAUAAUUCCGGACAACGCUCGCCCCCUACGUAUUACCGCGGCUGCUGGCAC